GACGAACGCUGGCGGCGUGCCUAAUACAUGCAAGUAGAACGCUGAAGGAGGAGCUUGCUUCUCCGGAUGAGUUGCGAACGGGUGAGUAACGCGUAGGUAACCUGCCUGGUAGCGGGGGAUAACUAUUGGAAACGAUAGCUAAUACCGCAUAAGAGUAGAUGUCGCAUGACAUUUGCCUAAAAGGUGCAACUGCACCACUACCAGAUGGACCUGCGUUGUAUUAGCUAGUUGGUGAGGUAACGGCUCACCAAGGCAACGAUACAUAGCCGACCUGAGAGGGUGAUCGGCCACACUGGGACUGAGACACGGCCCAGACUCCUACGGGAGGCAGCAGUAGGGAAUCUUCGGCAAUGGACGGAAGUCUGACCGAGCAACGCCGCGUGAGUGAAGAAGGUUUUCGGAUCGUAAAGCUCUGUUGUAAGAGAAGAACGAGUGUGAGAGUGGAAAGUUCACACUGUGACGGUAUCUUACCAGAAAGGGACGGCUAACUACGUG
Molecule: ribosomal RNA, 495 nt
Filed under: uncultured bacterium
Lineage: Bacteria
Description: partial 16S ribosomal RNA
Rfam family: Bacterial small subunit ribosomal RNA
Source: RNAcentral